CCCGACUGCUAUCGGGAUAAUGCUAAGCCAUGGGAGUCGAACGCCUCCAGCCACGUGGGGGCGUGGCGUACGGCUCAGUAGCACACGGCUAAUCUACCCUUGGGAGGGGUAUAACCCCGGGAGACUGGGGCUAAUAUCCCAUAGACGAGCAACCCUGGAAUGGGUGCUCAUCGAAAGGGCGUGGGAGCAUGCUUCCACGUCGCCCAAGGAUGAGGCUGUGUUCCAUCAGGUAGUUGGCGAGGUAACGGCUCGCCAAGCCGAUAACGGAUGCGGGCAGUGAGAGCUGGAGCCCGGAGAUGGGCACUGAGACAAGGGCCCAGGCCCUACGGGGCGCACCAGGCGAGAAACCUUAGCAAUGCGGGAAACCGUGACUGGGCUAUCCCGAGUGCCAGCCGCUAAGGCUGGCUUUUCCCCAGAGUAAAAACCUGGGGGAAUAAGCGGGGGGCAAGACUGGUGUCAGCCGCCGCGGUAAUACCAGCUCCGCGAGUGGUCGGGACGAUUAUUGAGCCUAAAGCGCUCGUAGCCGGUCCGGUAAGUCCUGUGCUAAAUCCAACGGCUCAACCGUUGGGCCGCAUGGGAUACUGCCGGGCUAGGGAGCGGAAGAGACCAGGGGUACUCCCGGGGUAGGGGCGAAAUCCUAUAAUCCCGGGAGGACGACCAGUGGCGAAGGCGCCUGGCUAGGACGCGUCCGACGGUGAGGGGCGAAAGCUGGGGGAGCGAACCGGAUUAGAUACCCGGGUAGUCCCAGCUGUAAACGAUGCGGAUUGGGUGCCGGUACGGCUUCGGGCCGUAUCGGUGCCUCAGGGAAGCCGUUAAAUCCGCCGCUUGGGGAGUACGGUCGCAAGACUGAAACUUAAAGGAAUUGGCGGGGGAGCACCACAAGGGGUGAAGCCUGCGGCUCAAUUGGAGUCAGCGCCGGGAACUUUACCGGGGGCGACAGCAGGAUGAGGGCCAAGCUGAUGACUUUGCCCGACGCGCUGAGAGGUGGCGCAUGGCCGUCGCCAGCUCGUGCCGUGAGGUGUCUGGUUAAGUCCAGGAACGAGCGAGACCCUCACCCCUAGUUGCCACCGCGCAAGCGGGCACACUAGGGGGACCGCCACCGCUAAGGUGGAGGAGGGAGGGGGCAACGGCAGGUCAGCAUGCCCCGAAUCCCCCGGGCCGCACGCGGGACGGGCGGUGUGUACU
RNAcentral lists this ribosomal RNA (1185 nucleotides) under uncultured archaeon. RNAcentral describes it as "bacterial SSU rRNA". It matches the Rfam family "Archaeal small subunit ribosomal RNA", at positions 21 to 1200 of the family's 1478-position model. The record is from RNAcentral.